This 127-nucleotide signal recognition particle RNA is filed under the name Eubacterium sp. RNAcentral's name for it is "partial signal recognition particle sRNA large type". It matches the Rfam family "Bacterial large signal recognition particle RNA", at positions 135 to 256 of the family's 256-position model. From Rfam's summary of the family: The signal recognition particle (SRP) is a universally conserved ribonucleoprotein involved in the co-translational targeting of proteins to membranes. Archaeal SRP consists of a 7S RNA and homologues of the eukaryotic SRP19 and SRP54 proteins. The record is from RNAcentral. Lineage: Bacteria; Bacillati; Bacillota; Clostridia; Eubacteriales; Eubacteriaceae.
CUUGUGAACCGUGUCAGGUCAGGAAUGGAGCAGCACUAAGCAAGAGCUCUUGUGUGCCGCAAGGGUGCCUGGGCCGAGUUAACUGCCAGGGUAACGUUUAUGGUCAGGAUUCAAAGCAGGAUGUCCU